Molecule: ribosomal RNA, 315 nt
Filed under: uncultured eukaryote
Lineage: Eukaryota
Description: partial 18S ribosomal RNA
Rfam family: Eukaryotic small subunit ribosomal RNA
Source: RNAcentral
CCCUUAGACGUUCUGGGCCGCACGCGCGCUACACUGACCAGUGCAACAAGCAUCCGUCCUUGGCCGACAGGCUCGGGCAAUCUUUGAACGCUGGUCGUAAUGGGGAUAGACUUUUGCAAUUUUUGGUCUUCAACGAGGAAUUCCUAGUAAACGCAAGUCAUCAACUUGCAUUGAUUACGUCCCUGCCCUUUGUACACACCGCCCGUCGCACCUACCGAUUGAAUGGUCCGGUGAAGCCUCCGGAUUGGCGCGCACCCCGGUGCCGCCGAGAAGUUGGCUAAACCUUACCAUUUAGAGGAAGGUGAAGUCGUANCA